This 502-nucleotide ribosomal RNA is filed under the name uncultured Glomeromycotina. RNAcentral describes it as "SSU rRNA". It matches the Rfam family "Eukaryotic small subunit ribosomal RNA", at positions 591 to 1092 of the family's 1831-position model. The record is from RNAcentral. Lineage: Eukaryota; Fungi; Glomeromycota.
CCAAUAGCGUAUAUUAAAGUUGUUGCAGUUAAAAAGCUCGUAGUUGAAUUUCGGAAUCUGUCCGUUGGUCGGGCUUCAUUGUCCGUACUGGUGUGAUGGGUUCUUACCUUCUGAAUAACCAGCAUGCCAUUUAUUUGGUGCGCUGGGGAAGCAGGACUAUUACCUUGAAAAAAUUAGAGUGCUCAAAGCAGGCUAGUGCCUGAAUACAUUAGCAUGGAAUAAUAAAAUAGGACGGCAUGGUUCUAUUUUGUUGGUUUCUAGGAUCACCGUAAUGAUUAAUAGGGAUAGUUGGGGGCAUUAGUAUUCAAUUGUCAGAGGUGAAAUUCUUGGAUUUAUUGAAGACUAACUUCUGCGAAAGCAUUUGCCAAGGAUGUUUUCAUUAAUCAAGAACGAAAGUUAGGGGAUCGAAGACGAUCAGAUACCGUCGUAGUCUUAACCAUAAACUAUGCCGACUAGGGAUCGGACGAUGUUAAUUUUUUAAUGACUCGUUCGGCGCCUUACG